CCUACGGGAGGCAGCAGUGAGGAAUAUUGGUCAAUGGACGAGAGUCUGAACCAGCCAAGUAGCGUGAAGGAUGACUGCCCUAUGGGUUGUAAACUUCUUUUAUAUGGGAAUAAAACGUUCCACGUGUGGGAUUUUGUAUGUACCAUAUGAAUAAGGAUCGGCUAACUCCGUGCCAGCAGCCGCGGUAAUACGGAGGAUCCGAGCGUUAUCCGGAUUUAUUGGGUUUAAAGGGAGCGUAGGUGGAUUGUUAAGUCAGUUGUGAAAGUUUGCGGCUCAACCGGAAAAUUGCAGUUGAAACUGGCAGUCUUGAGUACAGUAGAGGUGGGCGGAAUUCGUGGUGUAGCGGUGAAAUGCUUAGAUAUCACGAAGAACUCCGAUUGCGAAGGCAGUUCACUGGACUGCAACUGACACUGAGGCUCGAAAGUGUGGGUAUCAAACAGGAUUAGAUACCCCGGUAGUC
This 460-nucleotide ribosomal RNA is filed under the name uncultured bacterium. RNAcentral's name for it is "partial 16S ribosomal RNA". It matches the Rfam family "Bacterial small subunit ribosomal RNA", at positions 338 to 795 of the family's 1533-position model. The record is from RNAcentral.